RNAcentral lists this ribosomal RNA (398 nucleotides) under uncultured Glomeromycotina. RNAcentral's name for it is "SSU rRNA". It matches the Rfam family "Eukaryotic small subunit ribosomal RNA", at positions 696 to 1092 of the family's 1831-position model. The record is from RNAcentral. Lineage: Eukaryota; Fungi; Glomeromycota.
CUCCUUCUUGAAGAACUGUAAUGUCAUUAAUUUGGUGUUGCAGGGAAACAGGACUGUUACUUUGAAAAAAUUAGAGUGUUUAAAGCAAGCUAACGCUUGAAUACAUUAGCAUGGAAUAAUGAAAUAGGACGUUCGAUCCUAUUUUGUUGGUUUCUAGGAUCGACGUAAUGAUUAAUAGGGAUAGUUGGGGGCAUUAGUAUUCAAUUGUCAGAGGUGAAAUUCUUGGAUUUAUUGAAGACUGACUACUGCGAAAGCAUUUGCCAAGGAUGUUUUCAUUAAUCAAGAACGAAAGUUAGGGGAUCGAAGACGAUCAGAUACCGUCGUAGUCUUAACCAUAAACUAUGCCGACUAGGGAUCGGAUGAUGUUAAUUUUUUAAUGACUCAUUCGGCGCCUUACG